This is a long non-coding RNA of Neopelma chrysocephalum (saffron-crested tyrant-manakin), 2493 nucleotides long. RefSeq lists it as uncharacterized. NCBI's taxonomy places the organism in Eukaryota, Metazoa, Chordata, Aves, Passeriformes, Pipridae. The transcript is spliced from 4 exons. The record is from RefSeq and is a predicted model, not a curated record.
UCAUGGCACUGUGAAUCUGCCCACACAACUGCAAUAAAUCUCCUUGCCCCAGGACACUCUGGCUUUUCUCUGCUUGCACAAUGCAACCAUCCAUUAGAGGAAGGGCUGCAACAGAUGGGCUCUCCCUUCUCCAGAAACAAGGCUGGAGAGAGAAGCUGCUGUUCCAGGGCAGGAAUUCCCACCAUCGCCAGCCUUGGCAAGCUGCUUCUUUCCCUGUUUCUCAGUUAAUGAAAUCAGCACACUUCUGGUACCUUCACCUGAGACAAACUGUAACAGGCAAAAGAAAAGCUACAUGGCAGGAUGACAAACAUGUUCACCUCCUGCUCCUCUGCACUAAAACACUCUCGCUCGGUGACAAGACCACAGCUGUUGCCAUCGUUUCCUUACCUGCAGAGUGCAAUAUUUAGCUGGAGGGACACUGAAGUUUUUCUGUUUGUUAGUUAUCAUGUCAACAACUCUCACCUUAUCACUUCAGUUUCCAUUCUGUUGAUAAAACCUGUCAGCCUUCCUUGAGUGGUUCCAGGCCCUCAGAAGAAAUCACAUUAAAUUGGCACAACCAAGUAAAUCUGGAAGGGAUGUGCUCCUGGCUUACCAAAGGAAAUGGGGGAGGGCUUGAAUUUCUCUCCCUCUUCCUCCCUGCACAGCUCCAAUGUCCAAGUGCUUGGAGCAGUGUUGAAAUCCUCCCUACGGACUCAGCAGUUCAAGUCAGAUCAGGUCUUUGAAUAUGGCCCAGAGGAGACAUCUGUGGAGCCGAAAUUGAUAUGUUUAAGUGCAAGAGACAAUAAUCAUUUCUUCAAGUAUAAGCUAAAAAUACCCGGAAAAAAAUGGAAUUCAUAAUGGAGAUUUUAAAGAUCUGUGACACACCAGAGCCUGCACAAGGGUUUUAAUGAGAGAGAAGCCAAUUUAAUUGGUCAGUGCGAGCAGAUGCUUUGCUGGGUGAGUGGGCUACGAGGUCUCACAGCCCUGGUUAACGCCAGGAGCAUCAGCACUGUCCUCAACAUGGCUGUGACAAGCCCGUGUCACAGCAGCGCAGUGUCAGAGCCAGGGAACCUCGGUAAUCAACGUCUCCACGGUGUCAGAUCACAGAGCCACGGGGAGAAAGCACUAAAAGGAGAAGGCAAAAGCCGACAAAGGAACAUUCCUGAAGGUAAUUGCAGGACUGACCAUCUCCUCUUGUCGUUUGCUUCAUUAUCACUCUGGGCAUGAAGCUGAACCAGCCUGUUAAGUUUUAACGCUGUGUUAACAGGGAGCUGCCGAGCACCAGGGCUGAGGUUUACAGGCCUCCCCUGUGAAAACUCUUCUGCAGUGUGUGUCACCGGCCUAGGAAAGCCAGGAAUAACUUCCGUGGCCCGUUCAAUUACAGACACUCACACCCAGCUCCCUCUCCUCGUGGCACGGCUCAUCAAUCAGGGCUUCUGUCACCGUGUCUCUUCUCAUCGCAGUCACCAGAAGGCUCUGAGCUCCCUCCCAGUCCGUGCGACAUUUACUGUCAGGGGCUGUCAACACCAAGAGAUUCUCCCAGGGCCUCCGAGUUCAUCACAAAGCAACAAGAUCUAUCCCCCAAACGCGCUCCCAGUUCCAGCUCUGGAUUACAGUGACUGACUGAGGGGCUUUGCAGCACUCGGGGAAGAGUGAAACAGCAGCACGAGCUGCAGCUUAUGCCCAAAUACUUUUGUUUUCUUAUUCUCUUGUUAGAAAAAUACAACUGCUUUAAGAGAGGUUUCAGGCUAAUGAUUAAUUAAGCUUCCUCAACACCAUCCCUUAUAAACUUAUUAAGAGAAAGCUGAGAUUGUUUACUUAGAAAUUUAGCCUUCCCAUCUUUAGCAUUGAUCCUGCCUUCACUCUCUGUUUAACAACACAGUGACCUAGUGGAAAAAAUUUAUAAAACUUAAUAAAUUGCAGUAAGCAAUAUUGACAGAGUGUGUAUAUGCACAUUUGGGUUUGUAUGAACAUAUUAUAAGAAAUCUAAUAAAGUAAAACAAACACAUUUGCUUUGUCUGUGAGCUGUGAAACAAGAUCCCUGUAAUUACAAUGUUAGAAGCAUAGUUGGUCAAAGGGGUAUGGUGAGAUUUUUGGCCAUAUAUUUCUGGUUCGAGAUUAAAAAACAACUAUUGUUUAUCGAGGGUUACAUGUUGCACAAAACUGCUUUGCUCAAAACGCAGAAAAAUAAAAAUGUACAUGAAAACCCAAAUUAGCAGAAGACCUCUAUGAGACCAGAGGAACCAGUACCCAGAGAAUAAAGUUCCAGUGGCAAAUGUGCCUCGAAGAAACAAUGGAGGACUUGGAGAUAUGUUCAUUUUAUCUGAACUUUAAGGAGGAAUGGGCCUUAAUGAGUGUUUAAACCAGUGACUGAAAGAGUGCUUUCAAUUGCAAGGUUUUUAAAAGACUAUAGAAUGUAUAUAACCUUCUAGAACUUUGAUGUCUAUUUUUAACUGGCUUUCUACAACUAGCCUGGUUUCCUCUUCCAACCAAAAUAAACAUAUUUCUUAAGGA